CUUGGAGACUCCUACGGGAGGCAGCAGUGGGGAAUAUUGCGCAAUGGGGGCAACCCUGACGCAGCCAUGCCGCGUGAAUGAGGAAGGCCUUCGGGUUGUAAAGUUCUUUCGGUAGCGAGGAAGGCAUUUAGUUUAAUAGACUGAGUGAUUGACGUUAACUACAGAAGAAGCACCGGCUAACUCCGUGCCAGCAGCCGCGGUAAUACGGAGGGUGCGAGCGUUGAUCGGAAUAACUGGGCGUAAAGGGCACGCAGGCGGACUUUUAAGUGCGGUGUGAAAGCCCCGGGCUUAACCUGGGAAUUGCAUUUCAGACUGGGAGUCUAGAGUACUUUAGUGAGGGGUAGAAUUCCACGUGUAGCGGUGAAAUGCGUAGAGAUGUGGAGGAAUACCGAAGGCGAAGGCAGCCCCUUGGGAAUGUACUGACGCUCAUGUGCGAAAGCGUGGGGAGCAAACAGGAUUAGAAACCCCGGUAGUCC
This 476-nucleotide ribosomal RNA is filed under the name uncultured bacterium. RNAcentral's name for it is "bacterial SSU rRNA". It matches the Rfam family "Bacterial small subunit ribosomal RNA", at positions 328 to 796 of the family's 1533-position model. The record is from RNAcentral.